UACGUAGGGGGCGAGCGUUGUCCGGAUUUAUUGGGCGUAAAGAGCUCGUAGGCGGUUUGGUAAGUCGGGUGUGAAAUCUCCAGGCUCAACCUGGAGAGGUCACCCGAGACUGCCAUGACUAGAGUCCGGUAGGGGUGUGUGGAAUUCCUGGUGGAGCGGUGAAAUGCGCAGAUAUCAGGAAGAACACCCGUGGCUAAGGCGGCUCUCUAGUACGGUACUGACGCUGAGACGCGAAAGCGUGGGGAGCGAACAGG
Molecule: ribosomal RNA, 254 nt
Filed under: uncultured bacterium
Lineage: Bacteria
Description: partial 16S ribosomal RNA
Rfam family: Bacterial small subunit ribosomal RNA
Source: RNAcentral